This 274-nucleotide ribosomal RNA is filed under the name uncultured bacterium. RNAcentral describes it as "partial 16S ribosomal RNA". It matches the Rfam family "Bacterial small subunit ribosomal RNA", at positions 523 to 796 of the family's 1533-position model. The record is from RNAcentral.
AUACGAAGGGAGCUAGCGUUGUUCGGAAUUACUGGGCGUAAAGCGCACGUAGGCGGAUUUGUUAGUCAGGGGUGAAAUCCCGGGGCCCAACCUCGGAACUGCCUUUGAUACUGCAAGUCUGGAGUCCGGAAGAGGUGGGUGGAAUUCCUAGUGUAGAGGUGAAAUUCGUAGAUAUUAGGAAGAACACCGGUGGCGAAGGCGGCCAACUGGACCAGUUCUGACGCUGAGACGCGAAAGCGUGGGGAGCAAACAGGAUUAGAUACCCCGGUAGUCC